This 206-nucleotide unclassified non-coding RNA is filed under the name Hevea brasiliensis (rubber tree). The record is from RNAcentral. Lineage: Eukaryota; Viridiplantae; Streptophyta; Magnoliopsida; Malpighiales; Euphorbiaceae.
UUCGAACCUAAUGAACAAUCCCCAGAUUCAGCAGCUCAUGUCCGGCAUGAUUUCGGGUGGCAACAACCCCUUGGGAACUCCCGGCACCAGCCCCUCGCAGAACGACCUGGCCAGCCUCAUCCAGGCGGGCCAGCAGUUUGCCCAGCAGAUGCAGCAGCAGAACCCAGAGUUGAUAGAGCAGCUCAGGAGCCAGAUCCGGAGUCGGA